Molecule: transfer RNA, 77 nt
Filed under: Faecalicatena orotica
Lineage: Bacteria; Bacillati; Bacillota; Clostridia; Lachnospirales; Lachnospiraceae
Also listed under: 15 other names
Description: tRNA-Pro
Rfam family: tRNA
About the family: Transfer RNA (tRNA) molecules are approximately 80 nucleotides in length. Their secondary structure includes four short double-helical elements and three loops (D, anti-codon, and T loops). Further hydrogen bonds mediate the characteristic L-shaped molecular structure. tRNAs have two regions of fundamental functional importance: the anti-codon, which is responsible for specific mRNA codon recognition, and the 3' end, to which the tRNAs corresponding amino acid is attached (by aminoacyl-tRNA synthetases). tRNAs cope with the degeneracy of the genetic code in two manners: having more than one tRNA (with a specific anti-codon) for a particular amino acid; and 'wobble' base-pairing, i.e. permitting non-standard base-pairing at the 3rd anti-codon position.
Source: RNAcentral
UCGGGGUGUGGCUCAGCUUGGCUAGAGCGCCUGGUUUGGGACCAGGAGGUCGCAGGUUCGAAUCCUGUCACCCCGAU